AAUGAAACAUGGUACUACUUGGAAAUUUUCUAAGACACUGGCUGAUUUUAGCUGCUGUGUAAAGCCCUGCAGAGCCACUUGGGGUAAAUCAGAUGAAGGACGGAGGAUGGAGGCAUUCUGCACUCGAGUUAAAAUCAAGCCAAGAAAUGAAUCUCUUGUUAGGAAUUUUGCCUGGUGAAUCAUGUUGAACUGAGAGCUGUCUGUGGUGAGCACAGGCAAUAUCCAAUCACUAGCUGUACUUCACCUCCUCACAGUUACACCCUGCUGUGUGAGGAAAGUGUCUCUCUUCCUCAGAAAACAAGAUCCAAGGUGCAAAACCCAUCAACUGGGGCGUCAUGGAAUAUCUUGGAAAAUUUUAGAGCUAGUAAUUUCCUUCUGCCAGGAAUAAUUUGGUUUAGUCUUUCUUUUUCUAAAUGUCCACAUCAGCAGUGGAAUAGCAAAACAUGAAUUGGACUGCCUAUGGACCGUGAUUUACUGUCACUCUUUCCGACCAGGCUUAGACUACAGGCAGGUACUAACCCAGAAGGCAGAAGUCUGGAGGCCUGAAAGAAUUACAGGACAAAAUACUGGCCCCUCACAGGAACUGAGCAAGACUUGAGUGUCGGAAGUCCAGACAUGUAUUACAUUUAUUCAUUAAACAAUGAUGUACUGAGUGGCUAUGUUGAACCAUUUGCUUCAUCACACAACUGGGACACAUUGGUGGUGGAAUGCACAAGAAUCCUUGUGAAAUGAAGUCUGCAC
Molecule: long non-coding RNA, 741 nt
Filed under: Heterocephalus glaber (naked mole-rat)
Lineage: Eukaryota; Metazoa; Chordata; Mammalia; Rodentia; Bathyergidae
Description: lncRNA (ENSHGLG00000050370.1)
Source: RNAcentral